AUUGAACGCUGGCGGCAUGCCUUACACAUGCAAGUCGAACGGCAGCACGGGAGCAAUCCUGGUGGCGAGUGGCGAACGGGUGAGUAAUAUAUCGGAACGUGCCCAGUCGUGGGGGAUAACGUAGCGAAAGCUACGCUAAUACCGCAUACGAUCUAUGGAUGAAAGCGGGGGAUCGCAAGACCUCGCGCGAUUGGAGCGGCCGAUAUCAGAUUAGGUAGUUGGUGAGGUAAAGGCUCACCAAGCCGACGAUCUGUAGCUGGUCUGAGAGGACGACCAGCCACACUGGGACUGAGACACGGCCCAGACUCCUACGGGAGGCAGCAGUGGGGAAUUUUGGACAAUGGGCGCAAGCCUGAUCCAGCAAUGCCGCGUGCAGGAUGAAGGCCUUCGGGUUGGUU
RNAcentral lists this ribosomal RNA (398 nucleotides) under uncultured bacterium. Its description in RNAcentral is "bacterial SSU rRNA". It matches the Rfam family "Bacterial small subunit ribosomal RNA", at positions 30 to 428 of the family's 1533-position model. The record is from RNAcentral.